This 419-nucleotide ribosomal RNA is filed under the name Bacillus licheniformis. RNAcentral's name for it is "bacterial SSU rRNA". It matches the Rfam family "Bacterial small subunit ribosomal RNA", at positions 134 to 537 of the family's 1533-position model. The record is from RNAcentral. Lineage: Bacteria; Bacillati; Bacillota; Bacilli; Caryophanales; Bacillaceae.
AAGACUGGGAUAACUCCGGGAAACCGGGGCUAAUACCGGAUGCUUGAUUGAACCGCAUGGUUCAAUCAUAAAAGGUGGCUUUUAGCUACCACUUACAGAUGGACCCGCGGCGCAUUAGCUAGUUGGUGAGGUAACGGCUCACCAAGGCGACGAUGCGUAGCCGACCUGAGAGGGUGAUCGGCCACACUGGGACUGAGACACGGCCCAGACUCCUACGGGAGGCAGCAGUAGGGAAUCUUCCGCAAUGGACGAAAGUCUGACGGAGCAACGCCGCGUGAGUGAUGAAGGUUUUCGGAUCGUAAAACUCUGUUGUUAGGGAAGAACAAGUACCGUUCGAAUAGGGCGGCACCUUGACGGUACCUAACCAGAAAGCCACGGCUAACUACGUGCCACCAGCCGCGGUAAUACGUAAGUGGCAA